UGGGGAAUAUUGCACAAUGGGGGGAAACCCUGAUGCAGCGACGCCGCGUGAACGAAGAAGUAUUUCGGUAUGUAAAGUUCUAUCAGCAGGGAAGAUAAUGACGGUACCUGACUAAGAAGCACCGGCUAAAUACGUGCCAGCAGCCGCGGUAAUACGUAUGGUGCAAGCGUUAUCCGGAUUUACUGGGUGUAAAGGGAGCGCAGGCGGUGCGGCAAGUCUGAUGUGAAAGCCCGGGGCUCAACCCCGGUACUGCAUUGGAAACUGUCGUACUAGAGUGUCGGAGGGGUAAGUGGAAUUCCUGGUGUAGUAGUGAAAUGCGUAGAUAUCAGGAAGAACACCGGAGGCGAAGGCGGCUUACUGGACGAUAACUGACGUUGAGGCUCGAAAGCGUGGGG
This 395-nucleotide ribosomal RNA is filed under the name uncultured Roseburia sp. Its description in RNAcentral is "bacterial SSU rRNA". It matches the Rfam family "Bacterial small subunit ribosomal RNA", at positions 355 to 766 of the family's 1533-position model. Lineage: Bacteria; Bacillati; Bacillota; Clostridia; Lachnospirales; Lachnospiraceae. The record is from RNAcentral.